UACAGUCCAUGAGUGGCGGCGGUCGCUUG
RNAcentral lists this small RNA (29 nucleotides) under Bombyx mori (domestic silkworm). RNAcentral describes it as "ovarian small RNA-5958". Lineage: Eukaryota; Metazoa; Arthropoda; Insecta; Lepidoptera; Bombycidae. The record is from RNAcentral.